UUUUAGAUAAGAAUAAGGUAGUUAAGGUGGAGGUGGCUCUUGUUUAAAAACCUUGGGAUUAUAGGAUUGAUUCAGAAAAAUAAAUUCUAUGCCACUGAUGUAGAACAACAUCUGAUUGGGUCGAUCCAAAGGCGGUGAUAACAAGCCUGAAGGGCUGUGAACCUGGGAAGUUGCCUCUUUCCGCAGAAACAAUUGGAAGGGUAAAGAAGCGCUACCCAAAGACCCUAGCAGCCCUGCCACUCCUUGGAACCAGGAGACUGGAUCUAUGUAAAGGUCCACCAACGAAAGACUGCUUUGGCUCCAUGCUGGAAAGGCCCUUAUUAAGUCCUGCUGACUACCAACACCGCUGUGAAGUGCCAAAGACUGACUGCCUGGACCCAUGAUUCUCACUGCAAAAAGACCUCUCCACCUCG
Gopherus flavomarginatus (Mexican gopher tortoise) is the source of this 413-nucleotide long non-coding RNA. RefSeq lists it as uncharacterized. The transcript is spliced from 2 exons. Lineage: Eukaryota; Metazoa; Chordata; Testudines; Testudinidae. The record is from RefSeq and is a predicted model, not a curated record.